UUUUCUUUGGUUUUCAAGCCUUUCUUUAAUACAUCAGUCAUUCACAAGUGUGCAGCUGAUGGUUCUGGUGUCUGCAGUUCUGGAAUGCUCUAAUCAUCUAAUAAAACGCAGGACACUGAGUCAACUUUAAAUCUUAGGUAUUCAGUGAAUCAAAUUUUGAUAUCCUUAUGUUGCUUGCAAUAUUUAGGAUAUGCUUACAUUUAUAAUUGUGUGUUAUAUUCCUGAAAUGCAAAGUUAACCAGACUCUCUCCUCUUUUCUCCUAAAGAACAUAAUCUGAUGUUUAGAGGCUUUGUGUUUUGCAAUUUGAGGCCAUAAACUCAUCCCGAGGGAGAUUUUAUCUGUGAGAUUCUUUGUUUUGUUUGAAUUGACGAUAAGUACUUCUCAAAAUGCUUUCAUUUCUUGGGUCAGGAACCCCAGAGCUGAAAUCAGAGCUGGGCCUUUUGAAUAUUUUGCCUGGUAAUUGAAGUCCUAGCAGGAUUUGACCUGAAGUGAUCCAUGAAACAAGUGACCUGGGAGUCAAUCACAAAUUCUGCUCUCCACUAGGAAGUCUGAGAUAUAAGCCAGGAAAAUGAUUAAAAGCUCCCAGGGGUGCAAAAUCCAGCCACCACCACUUGAUCUUUGGCCUCCUGACACUGACGACCUCACGCUGCCAACCUCUCAAAGAAAACAGAGCGAUUGACACCACAGAUUGAAUCUCAACCUUGCAUUUCCAGGGGCAGAACAUUCGGCUUCAUGGCUUCAUGAGCCCCUCUCU
Long non-coding RNA from Arvicola amphibius (Eurasian water vole), 755 nucleotides. RefSeq lists it as uncharacterized. The record is from RefSeq and is a predicted model, not a curated record. Lineage: Eukaryota; Metazoa; Chordata; Mammalia; Rodentia; Cricetidae. The transcript is spliced from 3 exons.